CAGCGCCACGAGUGGCGAUCCGCAUUAUUUGGCCUAAAGCGUCCAUAGCUGGUCAUGUAAAUCUCUUGUGAAAUCGUUUGGCUUAACCAAACGGCGUGCAGGAGCGACUGCAUGACUAGGGACCGGGAGGCGUUAGAGGUAUACUUAGGGGAGCGGUAAAAUGCUAUAAUCCUAAGUAGACCACCUGUGGCGAAGGCGUCUAACGAGAACGGGUCCGACAGUGAGGGACGAAAGCCAGGGGAGCAAACCGGAUUAGAUACCCGAGUAGUCC
This 271-nucleotide ribosomal RNA is filed under the name uncultured archaeon. Its description in RNAcentral is "partial 16S ribosomal RNA". It matches the Rfam family "Archaeal small subunit ribosomal RNA", at positions 477 to 747 of the family's 1478-position model. The record is from RNAcentral.